This 107-nucleotide small nuclear RNA is filed under the name Erinaceus europaeus (western European hedgehog). Lineage: Eukaryota; Metazoa; Chordata; Mammalia; Eulipotyphla; Erinaceidae. The record is from RNAcentral.
GUGCUCGCUUCGGCAGCACAUAUACUAAAAUUGGAACGAUACAGAGAAGAUUCGCACAGCCCCUGUGCAAGGAUGACAUGCAAAUUCGCGAAGCGUUCCAUAUUUUU